UAUCCCCACUGUCACGAGGUGAUACAUAGCUGUAGCUACAGAGUUGAGUAUAUCCCAGUCUUUCAGGCACCCGCUGUGAGUCUGGAACAUCUGCCCCCCCCAGCUAAUAAUUGUACCAACGACAGUGUCUACUUACAGCAAGGAACUGAAUCCAAUCUGACCGGUGGAUAACGUGCUGAGCCAGACAGGAAGUGCCAUUGCAUCCAACCGGAAACACCCAGAAAUCCACUGUGGCUGUCUAGAUGCCCAUGUUCCUGGGGAACUGCUCCUCGGCUCCCUUGUCCACACAGAGGAUGACUUUGCCAAGCUCCUUGGGAAGGCUGGGGUGCUCUGCUCCCUUGUGUAAGACAGAGCUUCAUCUGCUUUUCCCACAGACACUCUUUGGGAACCUUUCUUGGCACACUAAAGCAAGACACACAACCUCUCCACCUGCGUGGAGCUUCCAUUUUGCUGUAAAUGGCAAAAAAUAAACUUAUAAACUAGCAAAUAAACCAUAAAUCCCUAACUGUGGUGAAUAUUGAGAAGAAAUAAGAUAGGGUAGCCAAGGAGUGUCACAUGUGGAACCCUGGGGGGAAAAAUGACACCGAAGGACCAGAAAAAUCCAGGGAUGGAACACCUGAGAAGUGUGUUGAGCCAAUAUGUGAUGAGCCAACAAAAAUGUUCCCAACAGUUGGUCCAGAACUAGGUUAGUGACCCAUAUCAGUCUGAAACUUUUUACUGGAAGCCAAAAAGAGAGUAGUUUUCAGAGGUCAUGGAGAGCCUGCCAAUGCUAAUCUUUUCUGUAGGGUGGAGACAAUGAAGUUAAAAGAGGUCCCUGGAUCCAAUUGCUCCUGGAGCUGCCCCAGCAGAUACAGAGUGUGCCCAGCCCCUCAAAACCGCUUUCAAGAAGUGGCCUGCUCUGUCCAUGAGGAAACACUGCACUGUGAUCAGAGCCUCGAGCUAUGAGAUUCAGCGGGACAUACCUUUCUUCAGGCUGAGGUCACAUUCUUCUUAGGAGACCCUAUCUAAUGACCUUGGUCCAUGACCCCAGUGAAGGUCAGAUUUAUCUGUCUCCACAAUCUCAAGGUGCAAGGCUUUAUUCCCAUGAUCCUCAAGUCUCUCAGUUCAUAACACUCCUGGUGCCUUGGUUUUUGGUUUUUGUUUUUGUUUUUGUUGUUGUUGUUUUUAUGGCACCCCCUAAACCAAAAGAAAUGC
Molecule: non-coding RNA, 1194 nt
Organism: Peromyscus maniculatus bairdii (prairie deer mouse)
Lineage: Eukaryota; Metazoa; Chordata; Mammalia; Rodentia; Cricetidae
Source: RefSeq, a predicted model, not a curated record